GACCCAGUUGGGUCCCCGUUCCGUCGGUCCCCUCCUCUGCACACGCCUCUAGCCUUAUACCCCGUCUUGAUCCGAAAGUUUUUCCACCCAUGAACCCCCAGUUGGCGCUCCCCGACCAGCAAAAGCCCCUUCCCUGGUCCACGAUCCCGACCACCCGGUUCUCCAGGAGACAAUACUCCAAUUCUCUGGAAAGUGGAAGAAACCAAGCUGAAGCUAGGGGGGCGCUGGGACCCCUAUUGGGGCUUUGAGAGCUUCCGGUUGUCAUCUCCUAAGUAUUCGGAGACCCUUCUCCAAAACUCUUGGGGUGACCCUCAAGACUCUUACCUGCUAUAUAGUUGGGGGUCUCUGGUCCUGGACUAGAGCAGUAGGCAACCUGGGUCCCCCCACACACACGGGAAAGAAUUGGAGGGGCCUGCCUUGUGAUGUCACCCCUCCUCCCCCCACCGCGCGCACGCGCGCGCGCACACACACAAACACAAACACACACCCCAACACACACGCCCUGUCCCCUUUCUCCACCCUGCAAGCUAGUUGCAUUUAGCUCACAGAGCCUGGGCUGCGACUUGAAAGAGUUUAGGCAGCAACAGAGUGACCCUGGGGGUGCUCUUGACCGACAGCCGCACCCCCGGCGUCUAGGACCUCCGAGCAGGGAUGCAUCUGGAGGUCUAGGGAAGCACUUCCACCCCCUCCUCUCCUCAAUCCUGGCAGGAUGGCUACUGCUGCUUCAAGACAGUGACGUUUCUCUCCGGUCAGCUGUCAGGAGCGCUGGUGAGCUUCCUACUGUGCCACAAGCUGGGUCUUACUGGGGAUCUGGCCAGCCUUGGGGGCCCUUGGAGCCCUGGCCCAGUGGAAGCUCGUGCCUGAGGAACAUGGAGGCCACGCUAAUGAGUUACUUCCAGAGUCUUCAAGAGUGCCAACUGGGACCAGGACCCCAGACCACAGCCCCCCACACCGUCCUGGACCUGGAUUCUGACUGUGGUUCCACUGUACCCCUCACCUUAAUCUCUGGUUCUAACCAGACCUGAGCCUAGACUUCCACUUUUUCCCUUACCCCUGUGAGGGCCUGGGAACACUAGGUGGGCAGGGUUUGAGCCCACAGGACCUGCACACAAACUUCCCCACCUCUUGGACUUGGGGACAGGAUCUGUGCCUCAACCCAGACCAGCUUUGUAGGGAUAUGUUCCAAGAACAGAGAAGAGUCUUAUGGGGAAGGGGGAGGAAGGGAAGUAUGAAUAUUUACCUCUGACCAAUAAUAGAGGUGCCCUGGUCCCCAAAGAAAUUGACUCCCGAAUUCCCUCCAAGCCUUACCCAUAUAGCUUUUGUUUGUUUGUUUGUUUUCAGACAAGGUCUUGUUCUGUCCAGUGCCGUGGCGUGACCACAGCUCAUGACAACUUUGAUUUCCCCGGCCCAAGCGAGCCUCUCAUUCAGCCUCCUGAGUGGCUGGGACCACAGACGCCACACACAGCUAAUUUUUAUGUAUUCGUUUUUAUUUUUUUGCAGAGACAGGGUCUCCCUAUGUUGCCCAAGCUGGUCUUGAACUCCUGGGCUCAAGUGAUCCUCCUGCUUCAGCCUCCCAAAGUGCUAGGAUUAUAGCCACCGCACCUCGUCUUGAAAUAGCCUUUUAAAUGUUCACCUCAGCUUGCCUCACAGUGGUAAAAAUAAGCAUUUUUUUGUUUUGUAGGAUCAGGGAGCUUCCAAGGCAUUUGAUACCUUUUUGAUGGGAAGAAGGGCUCUGAGGAGCUCCAAGAUACCCCAACCUCCAGGCCCUUCAUUAGGGGGUAGUUGGGUUUCUGUUUGGCCUUUCCCCCUGGGCCCCAUAGGCUUAAACUACCCCCACCCCCACCUCCGCCUCCUACCUCAGCUGGGAGCACUGUCUUCCAUGGGGCUUCCACUUCUCUCCUCAACCUGGGGAAGACCACAGGGCAGUGCCUGCCUCAGGACCUGCCUUCCCCAAAAGCUGGCUUCUUGCUCCAAGGAGAGAGCAUUGACCCACCUGCCAGAGUCUUGCCUUUUGCCCAAAGGAGCCUGGUCUUCAGGGCUGCAUAGGAUGCAAGUGCCUUCUCUGCUUCUCACCGUGGGUGGCACUAAUUUCCUCCUUAACCAGAACUUUGUUCCAGCCACUGACCCAUUCUAACUCUUCCCCCUCUGACUCUCCUGCGCAGGGUCUGUUCCUGGUUUCCCAGAUGCAUAAAGGAAGACAUAUCCCUCCCCUGGGCAGCAAGGCUACAAUGGGAGGGAGGGAGAACAUGGGAGCAUGUGAAUAAAAUGGCAUUAAAUACUGAACCAGGGAGUCCAGCCUCUGCUGUUGCUGCUCUUU
This 2317-nucleotide long non-coding RNA is filed under the name Homo sapiens (human). Its description in RNAcentral is "non-protein coding lnc-ORMDL2-1:6". Lineage: Eukaryota; Metazoa; Chordata; Mammalia; Primates; Hominidae. The record is from RNAcentral.